Molecule: long non-coding RNA, 815 nt
Filed under: Mytilus galloprovincialis (Mediterranean mussel)
Lineage: Eukaryota; Metazoa; Mollusca; Bivalvia; Mytilida; Mytilidae
Source: RNAcentral
CAUUUUUCGGCAUAUUAGGUAGAUUUUUCAUAUUUGAGCUUGAAUCGAAUCGUUUUUAAUGACUAAAUCUGUUAAAAUCUUUCACAUAAACUAAUUAAGGUAGAUAGGGUGUCUUCCUCCAUUUUGGAUUUUGAAAUACUAGAAAACAAGGUCUAGAUCUUUGAUGAAAUGUGCAAAUUUUUAUAGUAGUAGGUAAUUCAUGUGUAAGAAUUUUCAUUAUAAUAUAGAAAAUGCCAUGCUUGAUCAUAUUUAUGAUUGUAUUUUACAAAAAUAAGAAUCCUUUUGUUUGAUUCAUUUUUUUCCAACUUUGUCAAAUAAGGGGAGGCAACUCAAAUGCAAGGGCAGAUAAUCCAGAUAGUGUUACUUUUACAAUAGAAUGUGUAGGAAUUUACCCAUUUUUACAUGUAGCAAGAAAACGAGUCCGGUGACCCCAUUUUUUCUUUUUCUUAUCUGAAAGCAUAAUAUUGAAGCUAUCUUCUCAUAUUUUAUCUCAAAAUUCUAUGGUGUGGUUUGCGUUUUAUGGCGGAAAAAUGGGUUUUCCAUGCAUAAUCUAUACAAAAUCUUGACAAUUUAGAACAACCUGUAACGUGAAAAUAAGUCCGGUGACCUAUUCUUUUUAUUAAUGUUUUUAAACAAGCAGGAUAUGAACUACAUUUUGGCAAAUUAUUAAAAGAUUCUAUGGAUUAUAAUUUAGACACCCCAUCUACCUUAAUUAAAAUAAAAUAGACACUCAAGUGUUUAAAAAGUGGUCAAAAUCUUUCGUCAGAUGAACCUGAAAUUUGAGGCCAAAAUCGGUCCUUACCGGACCUACUCCA